GUAUAAGCGCACCUUUGUGAUGUGUGUAUGUGUACUGAGUGAGUAUUGAGGUCACGUUGUCCUUGUUGCAAUAAAGGGUCCUCAUUGGCCACGAGAUUCUACUUCUACUGACAUCGGGACCCGUGUAUGGGUGGCGGCGCUCCUUCCUUAUCGACGUCAUCCUUAUCGACUUCCCUCAUUGGUGGCUUGUCCGCAACGCUUGACUCCCGAAAUGGAAAAAUGCCACCACAACAGAAGAAGAGUUUCGGUCAGCCAGCCACCAUGCAACGCCUCACAAAUAAGGAUGAAUCGUCGACCUAGAAAUCUUUACUACCCGCACUGUAUCUUUCAUUCGUGGCGCUGGACUCCCGAAAUCAAAACAAAGAAACCACCGUAGAGGAAGCGUUUGAGCCAGCCACCCGCCACCAGCGUCUCA
Molecule: long non-coding RNA, 415 nt
Organism: Portunus trituberculatus (swimming crab)
Lineage: Eukaryota; Metazoa; Arthropoda; Malacostraca; Decapoda; Portunidae
Exons: 3
Source: RefSeq, a predicted model, not a curated record